RNAcentral lists this ribosomal RNA (429 nucleotides) under Gemmatimonadota bacterium. Its description in RNAcentral is "Gemmatimonadetes bacterium partial 16S ribosomal RNA". It matches the Rfam family "Bacterial small subunit ribosomal RNA", at positions 355 to 776 of the family's 1533-position model. The record is from RNAcentral. Lineage: Bacteria; Pseudomonadati; Gemmatimonadota.
UAGGGAAUCUUCGGCAAUGGACUAAAGUCUGAUCGAGCAACGCCGCGUGAGUGAAGAAGGUUUUCGGAUCGUAAAACUCUGUUGUUAGAGAAGAACAAGGACGUUAGUAACUGAACGUCCCCUGACGGUAUCUAACCAGAAAGCCACGGCUAACUACGUGCCAGCAGCCGCGGUAAUACGUUGGUGGCAAGCGUUGUCCGGAUGUAUUGGGCGUAAAGCGAGCGCAGGCGGUUUCUUAAGUCUGAUGUGAAAGCCCCCGGCUCAACCGGGGAGGGUCAUUGGAAACUGGGGGACUUGAGUGCAGAAGAGGAGAGUGGAAUUCCAUGUGUAGCGGUGAAAUGCGUAGGUAUAUAGAGGAACACCAGUGGCGAAGGCGGCUCUCUGGUCUGUAACUGACGCUGAGGCUCGAAAGCGUGGGGAGCAAACAGG